CCUGGCUCACGAUGAACGCUGGCGGUAUGCUUAACACAUGCAAGUCGAACGGUGUCUUCGGACACAGUGGCGGACGGGUGAGUAACGCGUGAGAAUCUGGCUUCAGGUCUGGGACAACCACUGGAAACGGUGGCUAAUACCGGAUGUGCCGAGAGGUGAAAGGUUAACUGCCUGAAGAUGAGCUCGCGUCUGAUUAGCUAGUUGGAAGUGUAAUGGACUCCCAAGGCGACGAUCAGUAGCUGGUCUGAGAGGACGAUCAGCCACACUGGGACUGAGACACGGCCCAGACUCCUACGGGAGGCAGCAGUGGGGAAUUUUCCGCAAUGGGCGAAAGCCUGACGGAGCAAUACCGCGUGAGGGAGGAAGGCUCUUGGGUCGUAAACCUCUUUUCUCAGGGAAGAACACAAUGACGGUACCUGAGGAAUAAGCAUCGGCUAACUCCGUGCCAGCAGCCGCGGUAAUACGGAGGAUGCAAGCGUUAUCCGGAAUGAUUGGGCGUAAAGCGUCCGCAGGUGGCUGUGUAAGUCUGCUGUUAAAGAGUCUAGCUCAACUAGAUAAGAGCAGUGGAAACUACACGGCUAGAGUGCGUUCGGGGCAGAGGGAAUUCCUGGUGUAGCGGUGAAAUGCGUAGAGAUCAGGAAGAACACCGGUGGCGAAGGCGCUCUGCUAGGCCGCAACUGACACUGAGGGACGAAAGCUAGGGGAGCGAAUGGGAUUAGAUACCCCAGUAGUCCUAGCCGUAAACGAUGGAUACUAGGCGUGGCUUGUAUCGACCCGAGCCGUGCCGUAGCUAACGCGUUAAGUAUCCCGCCUGGGGAGUACGCCGGCAACGGUGAAACUCAAAGGAAUUGACGGGGGCCCGCACAAGCGGUGGAGUAUGUGGUUUAAUUCGAUGCAACGCGAAGAACCUUACCAAGGCUUGACAUGUCGCGAAUCUUCUUGAAAGGGAAGAGUGCCUUCGGGAGCGCGAACACAGGUGGUGCAUGGCUGUCGUCAGCUCGUGUCGUGAGAUGUUGGGUUAAGUCCCGCAACGAGCGCAACCCUCGUUUUUAGUUGCCAGCAUUAAGUUGGGCACUCUAGAGAGACUGCCGGUGACAAACCGGAGGAAGGUGGGGAUGACGUCAAGUCAGCAUGCCCCUUACGCCUUGGGCUACACACGUACUACAAUGCUCCGGACAGAGGGCAGCAAGCAUGCGAAUGCAAGCAAAUCCCGUAAACCGGAGCUCAGUUCAGAUCGCAGGCUGCAACUCGCCUGCGUGAAGGAGGAAUCGCUAGUAAUUGCAGGUCAGCAUACUGCAGUGAAUUCGUUCCCGGGCCUUGUACACACCGCCCGUCACACCAUGGAAGCUGGUAGUGCCCGAAGUCAUUACUCCAACCUUUCGGGGGGGAGGAUGCCUAAGGCAGGACUGGUGACUGGGGUGAAG
Molecule: ribosomal RNA, 1424 nt
Filed under: uncultured bacterium
Lineage: Bacteria
Description: bacterial SSU rRNA
Rfam family: Bacterial small subunit ribosomal RNA
Source: RNAcentral